RNAcentral lists this ribosomal RNA (254 nucleotides) under uncultured bacterium. RNAcentral describes it as "partial 16S ribosomal RNA". It matches the Rfam family "Bacterial small subunit ribosomal RNA", at positions 99 to 354 of the family's 1533-position model. The record is from RNAcentral.
CGGACGGGUGAGUAACGCGUGGAUAACCUGCCGUAUACAGGGGGAUAACACUUAGAAAUAGGUGCUAAUACCGCAUAAGCCUACAGCCUCGCAUGAGGGAGUAGGAAAAGAAAUUCGGUGCAGGAUGAGUCCGCGUCUGAUUAGCUAGUUGGAGGGGUAAAAGCCCACCAAGGCAACGAUCAGUAGCCGGCCUGAGAGGGCGACCGGCCACAUUGGGACUGAGACACGGCCCAAACUCCUACGGGAGGCAGCAG